CCUACGGGAGGCAGCAGUGGGGAAUAUUGGGCAAUGGAGGCAACUCUGACCCAGCAAUGCCGCGUGAGUGAUGAAGGUAAUUUUAUUGUAAAGCUCUUUUCUUUGGAACGAAUAAAUGACGGUACCAAAGGAAUAAGCCCCGGCUAACUACGUGCCAGCAGCCGCGGUAAUACGUAGGGGGCAAGCGUUGUUCGGAAUGACUGGGCGUAAAGGGUGUGUAGGUGGUUUGAUAAGUUAGAUGUGUAAUACCCAGGGCUUAACUCGGGAACUGCCUCUAAUACUGUUGAUCUAGAGAGUAGAUGCGGUAGGCGGAAUGUAUGGUGUAGCGGUGAAAUGCUUAGAGAUCAUACAGAACACCGAUUGCGAAGGCAGCUUACCAAUCUAUAUCUGACGUUGAGGCACGAAAGCGUGGGGAGCAAACAGGAUUAGAUACCCGAGUAGUC
RNAcentral lists this ribosomal RNA (443 nucleotides) under uncultured bacterium. RNAcentral's name for it is "partial 16S ribosomal RNA". It matches the Rfam family "Bacterial small subunit ribosomal RNA", at positions 338 to 795 of the family's 1533-position model. The record is from RNAcentral.